UACGUAGGGCGCAAGCGUUGUCCGGAAUUAUUGGGCGUAAAGAGCGUGUAGGCGGCCAGACAAGUCUGCUGUGAAAACUCGAGGCUCAACCUCGAGCUGUCGGUGGAAACUGUCUGGCUAGAGUCCGGAAGAGGAGAGUGGAAUUCCCAGUGUAGAGGUGAAAUUCGUAGAUAUUGGGAAGAACACCGGUGGCGAAGGCGGCUCACUGGGCUCGUAACUGACGCUCAUGCACGCAGCGUGGGGGAUCAAACAGG
Molecule: ribosomal RNA, 254 nt
Filed under: uncultured bacterium
Lineage: Bacteria
Description: partial 16S ribosomal RNA
Rfam family: Bacterial small subunit ribosomal RNA
Source: RNAcentral